GAGAAACAAACAAAACUCAUUAUUGCACAAGGCCUCGCUUUUAUCUUGCAAGAGAGUGCAAAAGUCAAACAACGAUGAAGCUCGCGGUGACGCACUUCAUAUAUGCCCAUCCAAGCAAGAAUCCACCUCACCACACCACUCACCACUACAGUUGGAUCGAUCCAACAGAACCAAUCCCUCGCCACUAAAACCCUAACCUCCGCUGACCAAAUCGACGCACGCACAGAGCGGAAGCAAAAGAGGCCAAAUUCGCGAGGGAGGGGGAUCCGAUCACCUUUAUAUAAUAGGCUUUCUUGAUCUCGGCCUCAGUGGCCGAGGGCUUGACCCCGAGCACAUCGUAGUAUUCGGUCUCUCUCACCAUUUGAUGCAGCAGUCCCGCACCGUUGACAGUUCAAUCUGCUCAAUGCUCGGAGGAAUCUGAAUUGCUGAAUCCCGGCGACGAUGAGCAGAUUUGUCGAAUUCCAGGCUCCGGCGAAUGUUGAGGAGGAAGAAGAAGGAGAAGAAGAGCUUAUUUCCAAUCACUUGUAGUGAGAAGAAUUAAUCCGACUGGCAAAUCUUCAUCGACUUCAAGGCGAUACUCUCCUUACGUGCAUGGAUUCUCCGGUCUGCAUGUACUGAUGAAGUUACACGAGUGAUGUAUUACCAAGUCCGAUCCCAAAUAUAAAGGCCAUUACUGGUUUGAAGCAGUUUUCUAAGUCUCGUAGAUUGUUACGAGAUAAUCGAAACUAUGCAGUCCGUCAUGAGAUUUUCCCGAACCACAGGGUACAAAAUGGAAUUAGCCAAUAGAUAACAAAUGAUGUCCCUAAUUUAUUUAGCUAUGCAGCGUCGUCGCUUGCGUGGAGGGAUGAAGAGGGGUGAGGUUUGAGGGGCUUUUUCUCAAGUUUCGCUUUCAGAUUGCCCACACGAGGUUUGCUUCGUUGUCAAUGCAAAGACACUGUCCCCAGGCUUCCCGAUUUAUUGGACCGUCCACUAGCAAAAUUCUUGAUUUUUCUCGUAAGAAAAAGAUGACCAUGUAACCAACCAAUAGCGAUAGAGGAUGAAAACUCCUCGGAGGAUACACUGUCAUAAUUGACAAAUUCAGUAAAAAAUUGAUUUGCCGUU
This is a non-coding RNA of Punica granatum (pomegranate), 1101 nucleotides long. Lineage: Eukaryota; Viridiplantae; Streptophyta; Magnoliopsida; Myrtales; Lythraceae. The record is from RefSeq and is a predicted model, not a curated record.